This 415-nucleotide ribosomal RNA is filed under the name uncultured microorganism. RNAcentral describes it as "bacterial SSU rRNA". It matches the Rfam family "Archaeal small subunit ribosomal RNA", at positions 330 to 747 of the family's 1478-position model. The record is from RNAcentral.
GUGCAGCAGGCGAGAAACCUUCGCAAUGCGGGAAACCGCGACGAGGGGACUCCCAGUGCCUACGCUCAGCGUAGGCUGUUCCCGAGCCUAGAAAGCUCGGGGAGUAAGGGCUGGGUAAGACGGGUGCCAGCCGCCGCGGUAAUACCCGCAGCCCGAGUGGUGGCCACUAUUAUUGGGCCUAAAGCGUCCGUAGCCGGCCCGGUAAAUGCCUGGGUAAAUCGUGAGGCCUAACCUCACGAAUUCCGGGUAGACUGCCGGGCUAGGGACCGGAGGAGGGAGAGGGUACUCCAGGGGUAGGGGUGAAAUCCUGUAAUCCCUGGAGGACCACCGGUGGCGAAGGCGCUCUCCUAGGACGGGUCCGACGGUGAGGGACGAAAGCCAGGGGAGCGAACCGGAUUAGAUACCCCGGUAGUCC